RNAcentral lists this ribosomal RNA (598 nucleotides) under Tachycnemis seychellensis. RNAcentral's name for it is "partial 16S ribosomal RNA". It matches the Rfam family "Bacterial large subunit ribosomal RNA", at positions 1796 to 2620 of the family's 2925-position model. The record is from RNAcentral. Lineage: Eukaryota; Metazoa; Chordata; Amphibia; Anura; Hyperoliidae.
UCGCCUGUUUAUCAAAAACAUCGCCUCUUGCUUUACAUAAGAGGUCCCGCCUGCCCUGUGACUUAGUUUAACGGCCGCGGUAUUAUAACCGUGCGAAGGUAGCAUAAUAAAUUGUUCUCUAAAUAAGGACUAGUAUGAAAGGCAUCACGAGGGCUUAACUGUCUCCCUUUUCCAAUCAAUGAAACUGAUCUUCUCGUGAAGAAGCGAGAAUAAAUUUAUAAGACGAGAAGACCCCAUGGAGCUUUAAACUUCUCACCACUUAUUUAUCAUUACACCACUAUAUAUAAUAAAAAUGUUAAUUGAAAGUUUUCGGCUGGGGUGACCCUGGAGAAAAAUAAAUCCUCCAGGAUGAACGGAAUAAAAUCCUAAUCAAAGAGCUACAGCUCUAAGAAUCAAAACACUGACAUCAUUGACCCAACCAUUUGAUCAACGAACCAAGUUACCCUGGGGAUAACAGCGCAAUCCAUUUCAAGAGCCCCUAUCGACAAAUGGGUUUACGACCUCGAUGUUGGAUCGGGGUAUCCCAGUGGCGCAGCCGCUACUAAAGGUUCGUUUGUUCAACGAUUAAUAACCCCACGUGAUCUGAGUUCAGACCGGA